GGGUUGUGAGGUUAAGCGACUAAGCGUACACGGUGGAUGCCCUGGCAGUCAGAGGCGAUGAAGGACGUGCUAAUCUGCGAAAAGCGUCGGUAAGGUGAUAUGAACCGUUACAGCCGGCGAUGUCCGAAUGGGGAAACCCAGUGUGAUUCGUCACACUAUCGUUAACUGAAUACAUAGGUUAACGAGGCGAACCGGGGGAACUGAAACAUCUAAGUACCCCGAGGAAAAGAAAUCAACCGAGAUUCCCCCAGUAGCGGCGAGCGAACGGGGAGCAGCCCAGAGUCUGAAUCAGCUUGUGUGUUAGUGGAACGGUCUGGAAAGUCCGACGGUACAGGGUGAUAGUCCCGUACACCAAAAUGCACAGGUUGUGAACUCGAAGAGUAGGGCGGGACACGUGGUAUCCUGUCUGAAUAUGGGGGGACCAUCCUCCAAGGCUAAAUACUCCUGACUGACCGAUAGUGAACCAGUACCGUGAGGGAAAGGCGAAAAGAACCCCGGCGAGGGGAGUGAAAAAGAACCUGAAACCGUGUACGUACAAGCAGUGGGAGCACCUUCGGGUGUGACUGCGUACCUUUUGUAUAAUGGGUCAGCGACUUAUAUUCUGUAGCAAGGUUAACCGUAUAGGGGAGCCGCAGGGAAACCGAGUCUUAACUGGGCGUUAAGUUGCAGGGUAUAGACCCGAAACCCGGUGAUCUAGCCAUGGGCAGGUUGAAGGUUGGGUAACACUAACUGGAGGACCGAACCGACUAAUGUUGAAAAAUUAGCGGAUGACUUGUGGCUGGGGGUGAAAGGCCAAUCAAACCGGGAGAUAGCUGGUUCUCCCCGAAAGCUAUUUAGGUAGCGCCUCGUGAACUCAUCUUCGGGGGUAGAGCACUGUUUCGGCUAGGGGGUCAUCCCGACUUACCAACCCGAUGCAAACUACGAAUACCGAAGAAUGUUAUCACGGGAGACACACGGCGGGUGCUAACGUCCGUCGUGAAGAGGGAAACAACCCAGACCGCCAGCUAAGGUCCCAAAGUCAUGGUUAAGUGGGAAACGAUGUGGGAAGGCACAGACAGCCAGGAUGUUGGCUUAGAAGCAGCCAUCAUUUAAAGAAAGCGUAAUAGCUCACUGGUCGAGUCGGCCUGCGCGGAAGAUGUAACGGGGCUAAACCAUGCACCGAAGCUGCGGCAGCGACACUAUGUGUUGUUGGGUAGGGGAGCGUUCUGUAAGCCUGCGAAGGUGUGCUGUGAGGCAUGCUGGAGGUAUCAGAAGUGCGAAUGCUGACAUAAGUAACGAUAAAGCGGGUGAAAAGCCCGCUCGCCGGAAGACCAAGGGUUCCUGUCCAACGUUAAUCGGGGCAGGGUGAGUCGACCCCUAAGGCGAGGCCGAAAGGCGUAGUCGAUGGGAAACAGGUUAAUAUUCCUGUACUUGGUGUUACUGCGAAGGGGGGACGGAGAAGGCUAUGUUAGCCGGGCGACGGUUGUCCCGGUUUAAGCAUGUAGGCUGGUUAUCCAGGCAAAUCCGGAUAAUCAAGGCUGAGGUGUGAUGACGAGGCACUACGGUGCUGAAGUAACAAAUGCCCUGCUUCCAGGAAAAGCCUCUAAGCAUCAGGUAACAUCAAAUCGUACCCCAAACCGACACAGGUGGUCAGGUAGAGAAUACCAAGGCGCUUGAGAGAACUCGGGUGAAGGAACUAGGCAAAAUGGUGCCGUAACUUCGGGAGAAGGCACGCUGGUGUGUAGGUGAAGUCCCUGCGGAUGGAGCUGAGACCAGUCGAAGAUACCAGCUGGCUGCAACUGUUUAUUAAAAACACAGCACUGUGCAAACACGAAAGUGGACGUAUACGGUGUGACGCCUGCCCGGUGCCGGAAGGUUAAUUGAUGGGGUUAUCCGUAAGGAGAAGCUCUUGAUCGAAGCCCCGGUAAACGGCGGCCGUAACUAUAACGGUCCUAAGGUAGCGAAAUUCCUUGUCGGGUAAGUUCCGACCUGCACGAAUGGCGUAAUGAUGGCCAGGCUGUCUCCACCCGAGACUCAGUGAAAUUGAACUCGCUGUGAAGAUGCAGUGUACCCGCGGCAAGACGGAAAGACCCCGUGAACCUUUACUAUAGCUUGACACUGAACAUUGAGCCUUGAUGUGUAGGAUAGGUGGGAGGCUUUGAAGCGUGGACGCCAGUCUGCGUGGAGCCAACCUUGAAAUACCACCCUUUAAUGUUUGAUGUUCUAACGUUGGCCCCUGACCGGGGUUGCGGACAGUGUCUGGUGGGUAGUUUGACUGGGGCGGUCUCCUCCCAAAGCGUAACGGAGGAGCACGAAGGUUAGCUAAUCCUGGUCGGACAUCAGGAGGUUAGUGCAAUGGCAUAAGCUAGCUUGACUGCGAGCGUGACGGCGCGAGCAGGUGCGAAAGCAGGUCAUAGUGAUCCGGUGGUUCUGAAUGGAAGGGCCAUCGCUCAACGGAUAAAAGGUACUCCGGGGAUAACAGGCUGAUACCGCCCAAGAGUUCAUAUCGACGGCGGUGUUUGGCACCUCGAUGUCGGCUCAUCACAUCCUGGGGCUGAAGUAGGUCCCAAGGGUAUGGCUGUUCGCCAUUUAAAGUGGUACGCGAGCUGGGUUUAGAACGUCGUGAGACAGUUCGGUCCCUAUCUGCCGUGGGCGCUGGAGAAUUGAGGGGGGCUGCUCCUAGUACGAGAGGACCGGAGUGGACGCAUCACUGGUGUUCGGGUUGUCAUGCCAAUGGCACUGCCCGGUAGCUAAAUGCGGAAGAGAUAAGUGCUGAAAGCAUCUAAGCACGAAACUUGCCCCGAGAUGAGUUCUCCCUGAGACU
Molecule: ribosomal RNA, 2803 nt
Filed under: Klebsiella pneumoniae subsp. pneumoniae
Lineage: Bacteria; Pseudomonadati; Pseudomonadota; Gammaproteobacteria; Enterobacterales; Enterobacteriaceae
Description: bacterial LSU rRNA
Rfam family: Bacterial large subunit ribosomal RNA
Source: RNAcentral